Molecule: ribosomal RNA, 478 nt
Filed under: uncultured bacterium
Lineage: Bacteria
Description: bacterial SSU rRNA
Rfam family: Bacterial small subunit ribosomal RNA
Source: RNAcentral
GAUGAACGCUAGCGGCAGGCUUAACACAUGCAAGUCGAGGGGCAGCAUGAGACGGAGAUUCGUCAAAGUCUUGAUGGCGACCGGCGCAAGGGUGCGUAACGCGUGAGCAACUUGCCCGUUUCAGGGGGAUAACCGGUGGAAACGCCGACUAAUACCCCAUAGCAUUGGUUUGAGGCAUCUCUUACCAAUUAAAGAAUUUCGGAAACGGAUAGGCUCGCGUGACAUUAGCUAGAUGGCGGGGUAACGGCCCACCAUGGCGACGAUCGGUAGCCGACCUGAGAGGGUGAUCGGCCACAUUGGAACUGAGAUACGGUCCAGACUCCUACGGGAGGCAGCAGUGGGGAAUAUUGGGCAAUGGGGCGAAAGCCUGACCCAGCAACGCCGCGUGAAGGAAGAAGGCUUUCGGGUUGUAAACUUCUUUUACCAGGGACGAAGAACGUGACGGUACCUGGAGAAAAAGCAAACGGCUAACUACGUG